UGGCAAGGUUUUCUCCAUCCAUUUCCACCACUUUCUUCACCAUUUCUGCACCAACUUUCAGAGGAAUUUCAAAGGGAAGAAGGCUGAGAAAGGAAGAAGAAGAAGUUCAAGAAGUUUUGUUGAAGAAAGACAAGGGAAUUGCAAGCAAAUCUUCAUCCUUGGCAGAAAUUGAUUCACACAGCACACCUCUAAUGUUCUGUUGAUUCCAAGCUACACAAAAAAAAUUAAGAGGAGUCAUGCCACUAUGUACUAGUAGACGACGGAGGCAGAAUCAGAACGGGAUGCAAGGUGCUACCCAAGGUCAGUCUGUAGGGGAAUCUAGUACCCCAAGAGUUCGAGGUGGAGCAGAAAACAAGCAGUUUGCGAGAACUGUACAUGAGAUAGGAAGGCUAGAGAGAGCAGAGCCUAGUGAUCCAGAAAAGGCAUACAUAAUUGAACAGCUGAAGAAGUUAAGAGCUAAACUGUUUGAGGGUUCCACAGAUCCAGCUGAUGGAGAGAACAUGUUGAAUAUGCUUGAAAAGUGUUUUGAUGUGAUGAAUUGUCCUGAGGAGCGGAAGGUUACAUUGGCCACAUUUUUGUUGCAAAAGGAGGCUGAAGGAUGGUGAAAAUCUAUUUUAGGUAGGCACAGUGAUGCACGUAUUUUAGACUGGCAGACUUUUAGAGGCAUAUUCGAAAAUAAGUAUUGUCCCAGCACAUACUGCGAGGCCAAUAGGGAUGAGUUUCUGGGAUUGAAACAAGGAUUACUUUCAGUGGCUGAGUAUGAGACGAAGUAUACCGAGCUUUCACAGUAUGCUAACAUUAUUGUGGCUUCUGAGAGUAACAAGUGCCAAAGGUUUGAAAGAGGGUUGCGUUUUGAAAUACGUACCUCAGUAACAACCAUUGCUAAGUGGAUGAAUUUUUCUCAAUUAGUGGAGAAUGCCCUUUUGGUGGAGCAGAGUAUAACAGAAGAGAAAUCAGCAAUGGAGCUUAGUCGUGGUAGUGUUUUUCAUAGACAAAGCCAGAGAAUACCUAGUCAACCCACUAGAUCAACAAUAAGAUCGCAACCAGGUCAGGAGUCUAUUGCUAGUAUUGUCAGGCAAACCCCAUGCACGAGUUGCGGUAAGAACCAUCGAGGUCAAUGUUUAGUGGGUGCUGGUGUGUGCUACCAGUGUGGACAGUGAGGACAUUUCAAGAAAGAUUGUCCGCAUAUGAACAUGACAGUUCAGAGAGAUUAGGGAGUUGGGUUCGAGACAGUUGAGCAAUCGAGAGUCUCAGUGGUUUCAACAGAUGGCACCAGUGGUGGAAGGCAAAAGGGAGUUGUUGGAAGACCUAGACAACAAGGAAAGGUCUAUGCUAUGACUCAACAAGAAGCGGAGGAUGCACCAGACGUUGAUACUGGUAGAGAUCGAGUUCCCGGUGCCUGAUAGACUGCCUUAGUCUAUUGAAGUUUCGAUAUCGAUUACCAAUAUGUUGUUAGAGUUGUGCAUAGAGUCUGUUGUAUUAUAAUGUAUAUAUAUUUGUAUGAUAUAGAUACUCCACAGUUUGUGUAAGCUUUAGGAGCUGCGGUUGUAUAAACCUUUGUUGGUUAUAUUUUGGUUAAGGUGCUCUAGGUUUACUUGUGAAAUUAGUUAUUUCCGAAAUACAUUUCGUGCAUGUAUAUGAUUAGUUUAGGAUUCGCUACAU
Molecule: long non-coding RNA, 1662 nt
Organism: Cucumis melo (muskmelon)
Lineage: Eukaryota; Viridiplantae; Streptophyta; Magnoliopsida; Cucurbitales; Cucurbitaceae
Exons: 3
Source: RefSeq, a predicted model, not a curated record